This 2004-nucleotide long non-coding RNA is filed under the name Piliocolobus tephrosceles (Ugandan red Colobus). Its description in RNAcentral is "lncRNA (ENSPTEG00000021789.1)". Lineage: Eukaryota; Metazoa; Chordata; Mammalia; Primates; Cercopithecidae. The record is from RNAcentral.
AUGAGCCUCUUCUAUUUUCUUUUGUUUAUAAAUAUAAUAAGAAGUAUACUAUGUAUCCACUUAAAUUUAUCAAAUAAUAAUAAAAAAAAAAUAAACAUAAAAAUAAGCACAAAAAUAGGCACUAAAAAAAAUACAAAUAUAAAUACAAAUAUAAAUAAAAAUAUAAAUACAAACAUAAAUAGAAACAUAAAUAGAAGCAUAAAUAGAAGCAUAAAUAGAAGCAUAAAUACAAACAUAAAAUUAUUGAAUAAAAAAAAAAAGGUAACAACUAAUUUUUUCUUUUUAACUAAAGUGAAUAAUAUCCGUAACAUUCAUUUUAGUAUAAAACGAGUUAUAAAUAAAAUAUAUUUCACUAACAAGAGUAGUGAUAAGAGUAAUGAUAAGAGUAAUGAUAAGAGUAAUGACAAGAGUAAUGAUAAGAGUAAUGAUAAGAGUAAUGAUAAGAGUAAUGACAAGAGUAAUGAUAAGAGUAAUAACCGUAAUGAAAUAAUAAAACAAAACAGUAUUACAACAUUUGAUGAAUAUUUUAACACUCUUUCAGAAAAUAAUUAUACAAAAUUAGAAGCAGAAAAAUUAAAAAUUCUUAAAGAAAGUGUUAGUAACUAUAAAAGUGAAAUAAGAAACGCAUUAAAACAAAGUAGUAAAAGUGAGUAUAAUAAAUUAUUGAAAGAAGAUAAAGAAGAUGAAAAAAUAAGUCAAUCUGUUUAUGAAAAUUUAAAAAUAACAUUUCACAUGAACGAAAAUAUUAAUAAUUUUUUGUUUACGCAAUAUAGUUAUUUACUAAAUACGUUAAAGGAAAAAUCUAUUAUAUUGAAAAAUGCGAAUUUAAUUGGAAAAGGAAUGGAUAAGGGGAAAGUAAGUAGUGAAAAUGAUACAAACGCAGAAACAAGUAAAAAUGUAGAAACAAGUAAAAAUAUAGAAACUAGUAAAAAUGUAGAAACUAGUAAAAAUGUAGAAACUAGUAAAAAUGGAAAAAUAAAUAGUUUUUUAUCCAAAUUUAUCAAAAAUAAAGAAGACGAAACGGACAAUGCGACAACUCGUAUGGAAAAACAAGAAGAAGCCAUUUCUUCUAAUAGUAAUAUUACUUUUUUGAAAUUAAAAAAAAAUAAUGGCAGUAACGAACUAAAAAAAUAUAAAACAUUUAGUAAUCAAAUAUUUGUUAAUGUAAAAAUGAAAAAUAAUAAUGUUUUAAAAGAUGAAAAUAAAGGUAUAAGUAAUAGUAUUUUUUAUGAUGACAUACCAGGAUUUAAUAGUGGUGUUACAGAUAUUCAAGAUUUUCAGAUAAAAGAAGAAAAAAAUAAAAAUGAAGAAGAAGCAGGGAAAACUGUUUUAUUAAAUAAUAAAAUAUCAUGUUUAGAAUUAUUAAAAGAAAAUGCAAAAAAUUGUAUUGAGUAUAAAAAACAAAAUGUAAUAAAAAAUAAUUUACAAGAAGAUAUAUUAUAUGGUAGGGUAAAAAUACAUUGGUUUCCUAAGUUUAUGAAACAUGUUAUAACAAAAUUACCUGACUAUAUAAAAAUAAGUGAUAUAAUAAUAGAAGUAAGAAAUGGUAUGAUACCUUUUGUUUUUGACGAUUUAUAUGCAUUAAAUAUGUUUAAUAUAUAUACAAAUAAACCUAAAAUUAUUGUUUAUACUAAUGCUGAUCGCUGUUCAAUUAAGGGUAUGGAAGAGUGGGGUAAUUAUUAUAGGAGGAAGUUAUAUUGGUCUGAUAAAAAUUUUAAUAAAAAUAUUGACAUAAAUAUAAAACAUGAUAAUGUUAACAAUAACACUAACAAUAGUAGUAACAAUAGCAAUAAUAGUAGUAACAAUAGUAGUAACAAUAGUAGUAACAAUAGUAGUAACAAUAGCAAUAAUAGUAGUUACAAUAGCAAUAAUAGUAGUUACAAUNNNNNNNNNNACAAUAGCAAUAAUAGUAGUUACAAUAGCAAUAAUAGUAGUUACAAUAGCAAUGACAAUAAUAAACACAUACCGAACCGAUUGAAAAAAAAGUGCUGUGAUUUUUGUUGA